This 253-nucleotide ribosomal RNA is filed under the name uncultured bacterium. Its description in RNAcentral is "partial 16S ribosomal RNA". It matches the Rfam family "Bacterial small subunit ribosomal RNA", at positions 524 to 776 of the family's 1533-position model. The record is from RNAcentral.
UACGUAGGGUGCAAGCGUUGUCCGGAAUUAUUGGGCGUAAAGAGCUCGUAGGCGGUCUGUCGCGUCGGCUGUGAAAACCUGGGGCUUAACUCCGGGCUUGCAGCCGAUACGGGCAGACUAGAGUUCGGCAGGGGAGACUGGAAUUCCUGGUGUAGCGGUGAAAUGCGCAGAUAUCAGGAGGAACACCGGUGGCGAAGGCGGGUCUCUGGGCCGAAACUUACGCUGAGGAGCGAAAGCGUGGGGAGCAAACAGG